UACGUAGGGUGCAAGCGUUGUCCGGAAUUAUUGGGCGUAAAGGGUGCGUAGGCGGCGUGGUAAGUCGGGUGUGAAAUCUCGGAGCUUAACUCCGAAACUGCAUUCGAUACUGCCGUGCUUGAGGACUGGAGAGGAGACUGGAAUUUACGGUGUAGCGGUGAAAUGCGUAGAUAUCGUAAGGAAGACCAGUGGCGAAGGCGGGUCUCUGGACAGAGUCUGACGCUGAGGCGCGAAAGCUAGGGGAGCAAACAGG
This 253-nucleotide ribosomal RNA is filed under the name uncultured bacterium. RNAcentral's name for it is "partial 16S ribosomal RNA". It matches the Rfam family "Bacterial small subunit ribosomal RNA", at positions 524 to 776 of the family's 1533-position model. The record is from RNAcentral.